CUCCCCGGAAUGAACAGGGACAACCACAGCUAGAUCAGGUUGCUCAGAGCUUGGCCCAGCCUGAUCUUGAGCAUCUCUAGGGAUAGGGCUUCCACCACAUCUCUGGUUUGAAGAGAAGGAUGUUGUGGGGUGCCAUUUCAAAAGUGUCACUGAAGCCCAGACAGAUGACAUCAGUGGCUCUCGUUCAGUGAUGCAGUUACAACAUCACAGAAGGCCACUGGGCUGGUCAAGCAGGACUUGCCCUUGAUGAAGCCAUGCUGGUUCUCCUCUGUCACCUUCCUGUCUUCCAUGUGUGUUAGCAGAAGAUCUACUCCAUGAUCUAUCCCAGCACAGAAGUGAGACUGACAGAACAGCCAGUGAACUGAGGGAAGACCCACAGUCAUCAAGUUGCAGAAGGCAUCUUUGGAAGUUGUCACAUCCAAUCGCCUGCUCAGACAAGGGUAAGCUGGGGCAGAAAAUGAGCAGGGGAGGGAGUAAUUGUACUCAGGUGUCCCAACUUGAUGCUUUGAUGACAAGACCAUGU
Meleagris gallopavo (turkey) is the source of this 523-nucleotide non-coding RNA. The record is from RefSeq and is a predicted model, not a curated record. NCBI's taxonomy places the organism in Eukaryota, Metazoa, Chordata, Aves, Galliformes, Phasianidae.